Molecule: ribosomal RNA, 468 nt
Filed under: uncultured bacterium
Lineage: Bacteria
Description: partial 16S ribosomal RNA
Rfam family: Bacterial small subunit ribosomal RNA
Source: RNAcentral
GACGAACGCUGGCGGCGUGCUUAACACAUGCAAGUCGAACGGAAAGGCGCUGCUCUUGUGGCGUGCUCGUGUGGCGAACGGGUGAGUAACACGUGAGUAACCUGCCCUUGACUUUGGGAUAACUUCAGGAAACUGGGGCUAAUACCGGAUAUGAGCUCCUGCUGCAUGGUGGGGGUUGGAAAGUUUCGGCGGUUGGGGCUGGACUCGCGGCAUAUUAGCUUGUUGGUGGGGUAGUGGCUUACCAAGGCUUUGACGGGUAGCCGGCCUGAGAGGGGGACCGGGCACCAGGGGACUGAGAGACGGCGCAGACUCCAACGGGAGGCAGCAGUGGGGAACAUUGCGGAAUGGGCGGAAGCCUGAGGCAGCGACCCCGCGUGCGGGAUGACGGCCUUCGGGUUGUAAACCGCUUUCGCCGGUGACGAAGCGUGAGUGACGGUAAUGGGUAAAGAAGCACCGGCUAACUACGUG